GUGGGUAUAGCUCAGUGGUAGAGUGUGUGCUUAGCAUGCAUGAGGGCCUGGGUUCAAUCCCCAGUACCUCCA
This 72-nucleotide transfer RNA is filed under the name Camelus bactrianus (Bactrian camel). It matches the Rfam family "tRNA". Rfam says of the family: Transfer RNA (tRNA) molecules are approximately 80 nucleotides in length. Their secondary structure includes four short double-helical elements and three loops (D, anti-codon, and T loops). RNAcentral also lists the same sequence under 2 other names. Lineage: Eukaryota; Metazoa; Chordata; Mammalia; Artiodactyla; Camelidae. The record is from Rfam by way of RNAcentral.